Budorcas taxicolor (takin) is the source of this 104-nucleotide small nuclear RNA. Lineage: Eukaryota; Metazoa; Chordata; Mammalia; Artiodactyla; Bovidae. The record is from RefSeq and is a predicted model, not a curated record.
GUGUUCACACUGGCAGCACACAUACUAAAACUGGAAUGAUACAGAGAUUAGCAUCGCCCCUGCACAAGGAUGACACGCAAAUUCAUGAAGCACUCCAUAUUUAA